AGGCGAUGAAAGACGUAGUAACUUGCGAUAAGCCCAGAUUAGGUAGUAACAACCAUUUGAGUCUGGGAUUUCUGAAUGGGGAAACCCACUUACAUAAGUAAGUAUCCUUACCUGAAUACAUAGGGUAAGGAGGCGAACCGGGGGAACUGAAACAUCUAAGUACCCCGAGGAAAAGAAAUCAACCGAGAUUCCGAAAGUAGCGGCGAGCGAAAUUGGACUAGCCCUUAAGCUUUACACGCGUUAGACGAACGGUCUGGAAAGUCCGACGAUACAGGGUGAUAG
Molecule: ribosomal RNA, 282 nt
Filed under: Vibrio parahaemolyticus
Lineage: Bacteria; Pseudomonadati; Pseudomonadota; Gammaproteobacteria; Vibrionales; Vibrionaceae
Description: partial 23S ribosomal RNA
Rfam family: Bacterial large subunit ribosomal RNA
Source: RNAcentral